CGCCGGACUGGAACAGGUAAAUCACCCGCUUUGCGCGCGGAUUCAGGUGGGGCAGCCCGGGCCGCAUGCUCGACGCGGGCGCCGGCGCC
This 89-nucleotide transfer RNA is filed under the name Pirellulimonas nuda. RNAcentral's name for it is "Planctomycetes bacterium Pla175 tRNA-Ala". Lineage: Bacteria; Pseudomonadati; Planctomycetota; Planctomycetia; Pirellulales; Lacipirellulaceae. The record is from RNAcentral.